GGCCUAGUGGUCUAGUGGUAUGAUUCUCGCUUUGGGUGCGAGAGGUCCCGGUUCACCGGCUGGGCCC
This 67-nucleotide transfer RNA is filed under the name Phytophthora sojae. RNAcentral's name for it is "tRNA PHYSODRAFT_t1415". It matches the Rfam family "tRNA". Rfam says of the family: Transfer RNA (tRNA) molecules are approximately 80 nucleotides in length. Lineage: Eukaryota; Oomycota; Peronosporomycetes; Peronosporales; Peronosporaceae. RNAcentral also lists the same sequence under 1 other name. The record is from RNAcentral.